This 502-nucleotide ribosomal RNA is filed under the name uncultured Bacteroidota bacterium. Its description in RNAcentral is "bacterial SSU rRNA". It matches the Rfam family "Bacterial small subunit ribosomal RNA", at positions 1 to 491 of the family's 1533-position model. Lineage: Bacteria; Pseudomonadati; Bacteroidota. The record is from RNAcentral.
GGCCGCAGAGUUUGAUCAUGGCUCAGGAUGAACGCUAGCGGCAGGCUUAAUACAUGCAAGUCGUGGGGCAGCAUGUCCCGCAGCAAUGCGGGAUGAUGGCGACCGGCAAACGGGUGCGGAACACGUACACAACCUUCCUUUUAGUGGAGAAUAGCCCAGGGAAACUUGGAUUAAUACUCCGUAACAUAUAGAAGUGGCAUCACUUUUAUAUUAUAGCAGCAAUGCGCUAGAAGAUGGGUGUGCGGCUGAUUAGAUAGUUGGUGGGGUAACGGCCCACCAAGUCGACGAUCAGUAACUGGUGUGAGAGCACGACCAGUCACACGGGCACUGAGACACGGGCCCGACUCCUACGGGAGGCAGCAGUAAGGAAUAUUGGUCAAUGGACGCAAGUCUGAACCAGCCAUGCCGCGUGGAGGAUGAAGGUCCUCUGGAUUGUAAACUUCUUUUAUCUGGGAAGAAAUCCACUUUUUCUAAGGUGGUUGACGGUACCAUGUGAAUAAGC